AGACACCCCUGACCAUUCUUCACAUCCCUCCAAGGUUGCUACCCACUGAAGGAGAGCCCCUCGGGGACUCCCUUUCCUACAGGAUCAGAAUGGGAACUUAUUCUCUGGGCCAGGAAUCAUAGGGGAGGCAGCAGACAUCAGAAGGGAGAUGGAGAGGAGUCCCGAAGAACUACAUAUGAGCAUGCUUCAUGGAAGGAGGGAGUAACUGUGUAUUUAAAUGCAAAGAGUUGACUUGUAGAUUUCCGAUUAACCAUAUUCAAGAUGACCUUGAGAAAAGUACUUUUGGACGUCGGUGGCAACAUGAAAGUUCUGGGAGUCCAAAUGGCAGAGGGGAAACUGUCUGCAAUCCUUUGUACCUGUCUCAGAUGCCACUAAAGUCACUUGUCACAGAUUCAGAUGUGCUGUGACCAGCUAUUCCAAGUGCCUGCCUUGACGUCCCACAAAGAUGGACUGUGAUAUGGAAUUGAGCUGAAAUAAUAAACCUUUCCUCCCCUGA
Molecule: long non-coding RNA, 496 nt
Organism: Mesocricetus auratus (golden hamster)
Lineage: Eukaryota; Metazoa; Chordata; Mammalia; Rodentia; Cricetidae
Exons: 4
Source: RefSeq, a predicted model, not a curated record